ACUUGCUGCUUUGCUGACGAGUGGCGGACGGGUGAGUAAUGUCUGGGAAACUGCCCGAUGGAGGGGGAUAACUACUGGAAACGGUAGCUAAUACCGCAUAACGUCGCAAGACCAAAGAGGGGGACCUUAGGGCCUCUUGCCAUCGGAUGUGCCCAGAUGGGAUUAGCUAGUAGGUGGGGUAAAGGCUCACCUAGGCGACGAUCCCUAGCUGGUCUGAGAGGAUGACCAGCCACACUGGAACUGAGACACGGUCCAGACUCCUACGGGAGGCAGCAGUGGGGAAUAUUGCACAAUGGGCGCAAGCCUGAUGCAGCCAUGCCGCGUGUAUGAAGAAGGCCUUCGGGUUGUAAAGUACUUUCAGCGGGGAGGAAGGGAGUAAAGUUAAUACCUUUGCUCAUUGACGUUACCCGCAGAAGAAGCACCGGCUAACUCCGUGCCAGCAGCCGCGGUAAUACGGAGGGUGCAAGCGUUAAUCGGAAUUACUGGGCGUAAAGCGCACGCAGGCGGUUUGUUAAGUCAGAUGUGAAAUCCCCGGGCUCAACCUGGGAACUGCAUCUGAUACUGGCAAGCUUGAGUCUCGUAGAGGGGGGUAGAAUUCCAGGUGUAGCGGUGAAAUGCGUAGAGAUCUGGAGGAAUACCGGUGGCGAAGGCGGCCCCCUGGACGAAGACUGACGCUCAGGUGCGAAAGCGUGGGGAGCAAACAG
RNAcentral lists this ribosomal RNA (704 nucleotides) under uncultured bacterium. RNAcentral's name for it is "bacterial SSU rRNA". It matches the Rfam family "Bacterial small subunit ribosomal RNA", at positions 79 to 775 of the family's 1533-position model. The record is from RNAcentral.